AACCAUUUCUUCUUCUACCCAAAACAGCACUGAAAGGAAAAGAAGCAGAAAACAAGGAAGUUUGCUGGAGAAGAGAUGCUAUUAACAGCAGCUGGACCAGGGAUGAGAAAGGUGCACUGGAAGUGAUCAGGAGUGUGUUAGAGAAGAGGACUAAUCAAUUAGAAUUAACGACUGGAGGAUGUAAAAGCUUCAGGGCCACAUGGGAGCCAUUUCAGAAUAUGAAUGAAAGCAACAGCAGAAGAAAACUUCAGAUGUUGAUGAAUAUAAAAAUCUCACUGGAGACCUGUGGACUGGAUCAUCUGAAAGUCAUAAUACACACACUAGGGAGUUCUUGGAAAGGUGUGUGGGAUCCGGGAACUCCAGCUGGGUCUCCAUGUGAAGGCAUCGAGUGAGGUGGAACACGAAAGCAUUGGAUGCAGGUGUCGCCGUGGAUGUAGUCUUUCUGGACUUCAGCAAGGCCUUUGACACUGUCUCCC
Molecule: long non-coding RNA, 476 nt
Organism: Alligator sinensis (Chinese alligator)
Lineage: Eukaryota; Metazoa; Chordata; Crocodylia; Alligatoridae
Exons: 3
Source: RefSeq, a predicted model, not a curated record